This 497-nucleotide ribosomal RNA is filed under the name uncultured bacterium. Its description in RNAcentral is "partial 16S ribosomal RNA". It matches the Rfam family "Bacterial small subunit ribosomal RNA", at positions 28 to 507 of the family's 1533-position model. The record is from RNAcentral.
GAUGAACGCUGGCGGCGUGCCUAAUACAUGCAAGUCGAGCGAACAGACGAGGAGCUUGCUCCUCUGACGUUAGCGGCGGACGGGUGAGUAACACGUGGAUAACCUACCUAUAAGACUGGGAUAACUUCGGGAAACCGGAGCUAAUACCGGAUAAUAUUUUGAACCGCAUGGUUCAAUAGUGAAAGACGGUUUUGCUGUCACUUAUAGAUGGAUCCGCGCCGCAUUAGCUAGUUGGUAAGGUAACGGCUUACCAAGGCAACGAUGCGUAGCCGACCUGAGAGGGUGAACGGCCACACUGGAACUGCGACACGGUCCAGACUCCUACGGGAGGCAGCAGUAGGGAAUCUUCCGCAAUGGGCGAAAGCCUGACGGAGCAACGCCGCGUGAGUGAUGAAGGUCUUCGGAUCGUAAAACUCUGUUAUUAGGGAAGAACAAAUGUGUAAGUAACUAUGCACAUCUUGACGGUACCUAAUCAGAAAGCCACGGCUAACUACGUG